This 301-nucleotide ribosomal RNA is filed under the name uncultured bacterium. RNAcentral's name for it is "partial 16S ribosomal RNA". It matches the Rfam family "Bacterial small subunit ribosomal RNA", at positions 509 to 807 of the family's 1533-position model. The record is from RNAcentral.
CAGUAGCCACGGGAAUACGAAGGGGGCUAGCGUUGCUCGGAACGACUGGGCGUAAAGGGCGCGUAGGCGGCUUGUACAGUCAGAUGUGAAAUUCCUGGGCUCAACCUGGGGACUGCAUUUGAUACGUACGGGCUUGAGUGGAGAAGAGGGUUGUGGAAUUUCCAGUGUAGAGGUGAAAUUCGUAGAUAUUGGAAAGAACACCGGUGGCGAAGGCGGCAACCUGGUCUUUAACUGACGCUGAGGCGCGAAAGCGUGGGGAGCAAACAGGAUUAGAUACCCCAGUAGUCCCUGUCUCUUAUAC